GGGGGAGUAGCAGGUAUGGUAAGAGGGGGGAGUAGCAGGUAUGGUAAGAGGGGGGGAGUAGCAGGUAUGGUAAGAGGGGGGGAGUAGCAGGUAUGGUAAGAGGGGGGAGUAGCAGGUAUGGUAAGAGGGGGGAGUAGCAGGUAUGGUAAGAAGGGGGAGUAGCAGGUAUGGUAAGAGGGGGGAGUAGCAGGUAUGGUAAGAGGGGGGUGGGGGGGAAUGUCCAAUAGGACUCAUCUCAUACUUAGGCAAUUUCUGAGGUCUGAAAAAAGUAGAUUUUGGAGUGAGCCAUCAUUGUUUCUUUGUCAGGAAGACUUUGGGAGUUUGUGUGGACCAAGAUAGUUUGUGUGGACCCUGAAAGCGUGAUGAUACAGGGUGUCUGAGAUCGCAACGCUGUGCGUGGGCCUGGUGGGUCUGAUGGGAGGUGACAGCCUUCAUCAGAGAGAACAUCAUCGUCACGGAGACGCUCUGGGACGGCCUGUGGACGAACUGCUGUAGACAAGCCAACAUUAGAUGCAGUGUAAGGUGUACGACUCCCUGCUGUUCCUCCCUGUGGACCUGCAGGUAUGGUUACAGUAUGAUUAUGUCCCAAAUGGCACCCUAUUCUCUAUAUAAUGCACUACUUUUG
This 625-nucleotide long non-coding RNA is filed under the name Salmo salar (Atlantic salmon). RNAcentral describes it as "lncRNA (ENSSSAG00000085439.1)". Lineage: Eukaryota; Metazoa; Chordata; Actinopteri; Salmoniformes; Salmonidae. The record is from RNAcentral.